UUUCCGUAGGUGAACCUGCGGAAGGAUCAUUAAUGAGUUGUCAUGGGGUUCGAUGCUGGCAGCCAAUUUUUGGAUGCAUGUGCUUGCCCUAACAAUCAUCUUCCAAACACCUGCGCACAUUUUCGAGGGAGUCUUGAGUUGGUUGCCGCUCUUGGGUGAUUUUCUCACAUUCCCUUAAAUCAUUAUACGCUAUUAACAAUGUUGAACGUGCUCUGUGCCGCAAGGCUAUUAAUAUAAUACAACUUUUAACAACGGAUCUCUUGGCUCUC
Molecule: unclassified non-coding RNA, 269 nt
Filed under: plant metagenome
Description: partial contains small subunit ribosomal RNA, internal transcribed spacer 1, and 5.8S ribosomal RNA
Source: RNAcentral